UCGAACUAUCCAUAUUUAUUGAAAGAUAAACAAUAUUUUUGAUUGUAUCGCCUUCUUAUCUCAAAAAUAUUUUUAAAAAAAUUAUUAUUUUUUUAAUUUUGUUGCCCCAUUCACGGCAAUGUGAAGCGCUGUUUGUAUAAAAAAAUACUUUUAAAAAAACAAUCACAGCUCCCCCGGCGUGAUACCGAACGAACCGUCGGAUUGAGCACGUGCUGCAAGAUUGGCGGCACCGGUCGGAGCCUUCGCCUGGAAGAUCGCCUUCGUCUCCUCCGGCUCCGACCCGCUGAAACCGCUAUAACUCCAGCCCUCACCUUUCCACCUCCUCCCCACUUACAAUGUUUAGAAAAUCGCAGUGGCCCCUCGAGAACUGGGCUUUCCACCUUUGGCCCAAGAAUUGCUUCCUAGCCCUAGAUUUCGAGAGCUCUCCGAGAACUCGAGCCGCCAUGGACGAGGAGAACACGGGGACCUUCUGCCGGACGUCGAUUCGGACGAGGAAGAUGGCCGCCGCUCUCGAAAGCUCCUAUAACAGUACCCUGGUGGAUUUCAUCUCCCCCUUUUCUUGUUGCGCGAACCAUUGCAGUUUCAAAUUCUAUGCUCUUGAUUUGAAUCGAAUUGAAUUGAUGCCAUCUUUAACAGAUUGAAGGGAUUGUUUAUCUCUUGUUGAAUCUGACUCCUUUUAUCGAUUAUUUACUUUUAUAUGCAUUUUUCUGAGCGAACGCCUUUAAUAUAUAUUAGAUUAGACGUGAAAAUUGUUGAAGUCGUUUUCUUUUUUAGUCAGUGGAAGAGUCAGGGUAGCUAAAGUUUCGAUUUUAUUUUAUUUUUGUCAUGUUUUCUUCCUUGAACUAGUUUCCCUUUCGGAUAUCAAUAUUGAAAAUUUAGUGACUUUAAUUAGUAUCGAGGGAUUGGAAAAUGACCAUGCUGGAGCAGAGGUGAUUGAGAUUAAAUGAUGAAGAUGAUGCUUCUCUAGAUAACGAUGAUCGAGGUCUGUUUGCAUCUCUUUUGGAUUUUUUUUACCUUUUGGAUGUUUCUCACUGUCACAUAUUCAGAAUUUACGCAAACACCCUGUUCCACUACUUCACUAGAUUAUAUGUAUAAAAAGCUUAGUAUGAAGUUGGUGGCAUCAUAGAUCCUUAUGGAGCUUUGUAUUUUUAAAUUUUCAGGUACUUGAUUUCAGCUGCUCCAUGGCGGCAUAAAUCAAGAGAUGUGCUAAGGGUUGCAGCAUUACACAUGUAACUUUUCUUAUUUUGGAGGGAUCUUUAAAACAAUUUCAAAUGCUGAUCUCAAAAGCAAAGUGCUAUUUUCAGCACCAUCCUAUUUCAUGAAUGUGUAUGGUCAAAAGCAGCAGCUAAGACUAGACCGGCAAAAGCACUGGACAAUGCAAAGAAGGCACCAAGGAAAUUCAUACAGGAUGUAGGCACUAAUGCAUGUCUGUAGGAUAUUAACGGCUACCUGCACCUAUAAUUUGUCUCACAGCUUGUCAUUUGCUUUUAAUUGCGACAGGCAAAUCUAGAGGCAUUGCCUCCGCAUGUUCCUUCCUAUUUGAUGGCCACAAAGCACUACAUCCCAUUCCCAUAUCUGCACAGUUUGUGUGUAUGCUUCCAAUGGAAGGAGAUUCUGUUCAUGAUGUUGUCAGGUUAUACUCAAUGACAUCCAAUGUUCAAAGUUUGUAGCCUGAUCUUUGGCUUGAUUGUUAUCAAGAGCUCCAGGUUGUAAAGAUUGCUUUGAGGUUAGGUUUGUUGAGAAGAAAGGAGGUUCGGUCUCUCUUUGUAAACAUUAUGAUGUUAAACCAUAUGUACUUGAAUGAAUGAUAAAAAAAUGUGCAUUUCAGGAUGCAAUUACA
Molecule: non-coding RNA, 1840 nt
Organism: Phoenix dactylifera (date palm)
Lineage: Eukaryota; Viridiplantae; Streptophyta; Magnoliopsida; Arecales; Arecaceae
Source: RefSeq, a predicted model, not a curated record